AUACUUACCUGGCAGGGGAGAGUCAAUGAUCACAAAGGUGGUUUCCCCAGGGUGAGGCUCAACCCAUUGCACUUUGGGCGUGCUGACCCCUGCGACUUCCCCAAAUGUGGGAAACUCGACUGUGUAAUUUAUGGUAGUGGGGACUGCAUGCGUGCUCUGCCCUG
Suncus etruscus (white-toothed pygmy shrew) is the source of this 164-nucleotide small nuclear RNA. RefSeq annotates it as U1 spliceosomal RNA. NCBI's taxonomy places the organism in Eukaryota, Metazoa, Chordata, Mammalia, Eulipotyphla, Soricidae. The transcript has a single exon. The record is from RefSeq and is a predicted model, not a curated record.